GAUGAACGCUGGCGGCGUGCCUAAUACAUGCAAGUCGAGCGAACGGACGAGAAGCUUGCUUCUCUGAUGUUAGCGGCGGACGGGUGAGUAACACGUGGAUAACCUACCUAUAAGACUGGGAUAACUUCGGGAAACCGGAGCUAAUACCGGAUAAUAUUUUGAACCGCAUGGUUCAAAAGUGAAAGACGGUCUUGCUGUCACUUAUAGAUGGAUCCGCGCUGCAUUAGCUAGUUGGUAAGGUAACGGCUUACCAAGGCAACGAUGCAUAGCCGACCUGAGAGGGUGAUCGGCCACACUGGAGCUGAGACACGGUCCAGACUCCUACGGGAGGCAGCAGUAGGGAAUCUUCCGCAAUGGGCGAAAGCCUGACGGAGCAACGCCGCGUGAGUGAUGAAGGUCUUCGGAUCGUAAAACUCUGUUAUUAGGGAAGAACAUAUGUGUAAGUAACUGUACACAUCUUGACGGUACCUAAUCAGAAAGCCACGGCUAACUACGUG
Molecule: ribosomal RNA, 497 nt
Filed under: uncultured bacterium
Lineage: Bacteria
Description: partial 16S ribosomal RNA
Rfam family: Bacterial small subunit ribosomal RNA
Source: RNAcentral